AGUGGGAUAGCCAGGUCAAAUGGUGGUACCAUUUCAAGUUUUCUAAGGAAUCUCCAUAGUGCUUUCCAGAGUGGUUGCACCAAUUUGCAGUCCCACCAGCAAU
Molecule: microRNA precursor, 103 nt
Filed under: Marmota monax (woodchuck)
Lineage: Eukaryota; Metazoa; Chordata; Mammalia; Rodentia; Sciuridae
Source: RNAcentral